UGCAUAUCAAUUAAGCGGAGGAAAAGAAACUAACAAGGAUUCCCCUAGUAACUGCGAGUGAAGCGGGAAAAGCUCAAAUUUAAAAUCUGGUGGUCUUUGGCCAUCCGAGUUGUAAUCUAGAGAAGUGUUACCCGCGUCGGACCGUGUACAAGUCUCCUGGAAUGGAGCGUCAUAGAGGGUGAGAAUCCCGUCUUUGACACGGACUACCGAGGCUUUGUGGUGCGCUCUCAAAGAGUCGAGUUGUUUGGGAAUGCAGCUCAAAAUGGGUGGUAAAUUCCAUCUAAAGCUAAAUAUUGGCGAGAGACCGAUAGCGAACAAGUACCGUGAGGGAAAGAUGAAAAGAACUUUGGAAAGAGAGUUAAACAGUACGUGAAAUUGCUGAAAGGGAAACGCUUGAAGUCAGUCGCGUUGGCCGGAAAUCAGCCUUGCUUUUGCUGGGUGUACUUUCUGGUUGACGGGCCAGCAUCAGUUUUGACCGGUGGAAAAAGUCCAGAGGAAUGUGGCAUCUUCGGAUGUGUUAUAGCCUUUGGUCGUAUACAUCGGUUGGGACUGAGGAACUCAGCACGCCGAAAGGCCGGGUCUUGACC
RNAcentral lists this ribosomal RNA (587 nucleotides) under Psathyrella nitens. Its description in RNAcentral is "eukaryotic LSU rRNA". It matches the Rfam family "Eukaryotic large subunit ribosomal RNA", at positions 37 to 631 of the family's 3401-position model. The record is from RNAcentral. Lineage: Eukaryota; Fungi; Basidiomycota; Agaricomycetes; Agaricales; Psathyrellaceae.